UUUAAUGGCCGCAGUAUUUUGACUGUGCAAAGGUAGCAUAAUCAUUAGUUUCUUAAUUAGAAACUGGAAUGAAGGGUUGAACGAGGAAAUAACUGUCUCUUAAUUAAUUGUUUAGAAAUUUAUUUUUAAGUAAAAAAGCUUAAAUUUAUUUAAAAGACGAGAAGACCCUAUAGAGUUUUAUAUAAUAAUUAAUUAUAUUUUUUAUUUGAUAAUUUUAGUUUAAUUAUUUAUUAUAUUUGAUUGGGGUGAUUAAAAAAAUUAAUAAACUUUUUUUUUAUUAAAACAUUAAUAAAUGAUUUAUUGAUCCAUUAUUUGUGAUUAUAAGAUUAAAUUACCUUAGGGAUAACAGCGUAAUUUCUUUUAAGAGUCCAAAUCGAUAAAGAAGAUUGCGACCUCGAUGUUGGAUUAAAAUAAAAAUCUGGUGUAGAAGCUAGAUAAUUUAGGUCUGUUCGACCUUUAAAAUUUUACAUGAUCUGAGUUUAAACCGGUGUAAGCCAGGUUGGUUUCUAUCUUUAAAUUAUUUAAUAUUUUAGUACGAAAGGACCAGGUAUUAGUAAUAGUUAUUAAAAUUUGAAUUAUAUUA
RNAcentral lists this ribosomal RNA (583 nucleotides) under Amblopusa magna. Its description in RNAcentral is "partial 16S ribosomal RNA". It matches the Rfam family "Bacterial large subunit ribosomal RNA", at positions 1923 to 2756 of the family's 2925-position model. The record is from RNAcentral. Lineage: Eukaryota; Metazoa; Arthropoda; Insecta; Coleoptera; Staphylinidae.